This is a long non-coding RNA of Poecilia latipinna (sailfin molly), 384 nucleotides long. RefSeq lists it as uncharacterized. NCBI's taxonomy places the organism in Eukaryota, Metazoa, Chordata, Actinopteri, Cyprinodontiformes, Poeciliidae. The record is from RefSeq and is a predicted model, not a curated record. The transcript has 2 exons.
CAGGGUUACUUUGUAAGGACAUCCAUGUAAAAGAAAUUAAUCAACUUAAGGAAUUUCUUUCCUGGAAAGAUGAAGGUUCCUUAGAGACGAGAAUCUAACUUUUCCCAGCCGGGUUAUAUUUGCAGAGCCACAUUUCAGCUCUGAAUCCAAAGUGAGGCACCUCUAAACAUUUAAUGGGCUCAGAUUUUAGAAAUGACAGCUGUGAAACCAAAGGUGACAAUUCCUGCAGCUGAGAGAUGCGGAAGAACAUGUUGGGUCAGAGAAGGUGAACAACUGCAUCUCUCAGCUCUUGUCCUGCUGCAUCUGGGGCUGUUUUCCUCUGUCAGAACAUGUUGAACUUUAAAAACCUUCUUAGAUUUAAUGCAGACGUUUAAUACCAUAAAA